GACGAACGCUGGCGGCGUGCUUAACACAUGCAAGUCGAACGGAAAGGCCCUGCUUUUGUGGGGUGCUCGAGUGGCGAACGGGUGAGUAACACGUGAGUAACCUGCCCUUGACUUUGGGAUAACUUCAGGAAACCGGGGCUAAUACCGGAUAGGAGCUCCUGCUGCAUGGUGGGGGUUGGAAAGUUUCGGCGGUUGGGGAUGGACUCGCGGCUUAUCAGCUUGUUGGUGGGGUAGUGGCUUACCAAGGCUUUGACGGGUAGCCGGCCUGAGAGGGUGACCGGCCACAUUGGGACUGAGAUACGGACCAGACUCCUACGGGAGGCAGCAGUGGGGAAUAUUGCACAAUGGGCGGAAGCCUGAUGCAGCAACGCCGCGUGCGGGAUGACGGCCUUCGGGUUGUAAACCGCUUUCGCCUGUGACGAAGCGUGAGUGACGGUAAUGGGUAAAGAAGCACCGGCUAACUACGUG
Molecule: ribosomal RNA, 468 nt
Filed under: uncultured bacterium
Lineage: Bacteria
Description: partial 16S ribosomal RNA
Rfam family: Bacterial small subunit ribosomal RNA
Source: RNAcentral